AGGCUGACUCCCAUGGUCUGAGGCAGAGCGGGGAGCCUGGAGCCUUGGGUGGGGUCACCUGCCUCUCUUCUUACUGGUUAAGCCACCAGCGAUGACUAGUGCCUACUUCCUUCAGAGAGGAAUCUGACGGCUGUGGCAGGAAAGUCAGGGGCAAGAAUUGUUGCACAGAUAUGCUAAUAUCUCAGUUCUGCCACUUUCUGUAAUCUCGGGUGGUGAUCUAAUCUGUCUAAGGUCUAUUUUCCCAUCUGUAAUGGGGAAAAAAAUCAUCCCUGGAGUUAUUGGCAGGAUUAAAUGAGGUGAUAUUAGUAAUGCAAUAGUCACCACCAUGCCCCCACGAAAACUAACAUUCAUUGAGACCUUAUUGUGUUGGGCAUUGUGCUCAGGACUUCAAAUGGGUGACUUCAUUACAUCCUCACCAUCACCUGCCCAGGUAGGCAUCAUGUAUUACCUGCAACUUACAGAUAAGGAAACCGUCUUAGAGAGGUUAUGCAACUUGCCCUGCCAAAAUUGAACCCAUUGUGAAUAUACAGUAGAUAAAAAAAAUAAUAAAAAUAAAAUGAAAUUAAAAAUUGUGGCUGGGCAGGGCGGCUCACACCUGUAAUCCUAGUACUUUGGGAGGCCGACACGGGUGGGUCACCUGAGGUCAGGAGUUUGAAACCAGCCUGGCCAACAUGGUGCUCAAAAAAAAAAAAAAAAAAAAAAAAAAAUUGAACCCAGCAGUCUGACCCCAGAGGAGCCUGGUCUCUGGUCUCUUAACCCCUGCAUUGUAAUAGUC
This 775-nucleotide long non-coding RNA is filed under the name Homo sapiens (human). RNAcentral describes it as "LHRI_LNC1119.1". The record is from RNAcentral. Lineage: Eukaryota; Metazoa; Chordata; Mammalia; Primates; Hominidae.